Non-coding RNA from Zonotrichia albicollis (white-throated sparrow), 13951 nucleotides. The record is from RefSeq and is a predicted model, not a curated record. Lineage: Eukaryota; Metazoa; Chordata; Aves; Passeriformes; Passerellidae.
AGCUGCAAACAGAAAUUUCAUUCCUGAGAUACUCUGAUCCCCCUCUUCAUUCACAGAAAUAACUGCAAGGUUUAAAAUAAAUGUAGACUCAUCCUAUUGAGCUAAAGUGCUUUCGUAUAUAUAACAAGAUUCUGGCCUCACUUUUUUUUUUUUUUUUUUUUUUUUUUUUUGUCAGUGACACAUUAAAGGCUUAUUUCUGAUUAGAUUAGACUUGAUAGACGCUGGUAUAAAAUCCUCGUGUUAUUUUAGCAUCUCCUGUCAUUUCAGGGUUAGAGGAGGUCUAACAAGGAACAUUAUUUAGGGAAGUUCCUCUUAAUAUGAAACUGAAGUCCUACCCAUACCACUUGUUUGUAGACAUUGACAGCAAACUACACCAUAACUCAAGCUUCCCUCUACAUAUUCUUACCUCAUUCUAAGCCCAAACUUGAAGUUGUUGCAAUCAAAGCAAUCAAAAGCAAUCCAGAAAAGGCAUUCCUAGCUAUACUUGGAAGUUGAUCUCUGCCAUUAAGAAAAUACAUAGCAACUCUGUGAAGAGGAAAAGCAUACUAAAAUAGCCUUAGCAUAUUAUGCAAUACAUUUACUUUGUAUUUAAAUAUUUCUUUCUAAUGGCUAUGCUAUUUUUUUACUGGGAAAUGAGCUGAAGCCUACACUUUUGAACAGAUAAUUCAAUCCUCAACCCCAUUCCAAACCAAAUCCAAAUAAUAAUUUUGUAGACACAGAAGAUAUAGGUAAUGCUGGUCAGUUAUUACAGUCAUGUCUGCUUUUCCAGCAGUUUCAGUAAUUAGUCCCAUCUUGAAUGAAAACAUACAUUUUGUUGAAUAUGAGCAGAUUUUUGAAUACUCAUCUGAAAAAACCCCAACAACUUCCACCAGUCAAUUCUGAAUUAUAAUCUUCCAUAAAAGGAUUUUAUAUUUAUCUCCAGAAGAAACCCACAACUUGGUCUUCAACAGCUGAGGUCCAUCCUGAGCCUGGUCAUAACCACUAGGUAGGGCAAUGUAUAUUUAUUUAUUCUCCCCACUCCCCUGCCUUAUUUUUUGAUUGUCAGGUUUAGUCAGGCAUAAAAAUGAAGCUUUUGUGCAGUCACAAUGUCUCGUGAUUUUUAAUGUAGCACUUAAUUUUGUUUGUCUGCAGAAAUUGAUUGUUAAGUUAGGGUUUGCUCAGAUAACAGGACAUUUCACUCAGCCAUCACAUUUUGACAUUUGAUAAGUAAUUAACUAAAGGAAAGAACAGCUGUUAAGAAAAUGCUUAGUGACAGCAUGUAGAUGAUUUAAGGCCAAUUCAAGAACCGCAUAAGUCCCAUUUAAAUAUAAAAUGUCAUGAGAUGCACAGUAAAAAAUCUACAUGAUGUCUUUCCUUUGCAGUCUAACAAAGAAUUAGCCUUCAUCAUCCUGAAUAAAUGAAUGUGCCAUCAAAUACUCCUGUCAUCUAGGAUGGGAAGCUUAGAAUCCUGUAUUCUAAAGAACAACCUUAUGACAAAUAGUAAACACAAAAUACAAUUUUGUGGCUAAUUGUGAAGAAAACCAUUUUUGGAAUGCCUGGGCAGUACAAGCGUGAAUCACAGCAGCAAGCCACUGCUUCUGUCUCCCAACAUGUAUCAUGGAACUAUUUUCUUCCAACCCUUUUGUAGUACAGUACAUUCUACAUAAUGAAUCAUUUUCAUGCAGAAAUAGAAACAAGUGAUGACUAUGUUCACUUCACAACAGAGAAGAAAGGACUGGCAUCCCAUAAUUAAAUUUCCAGGUUUAGUGGCAUUGUAACCAAUCGCUGCACACAUGGCCUUGAGUGUCAGCUGUAGGGAGGUUAAUAGACCCCUAACACAUGUUUCCUAACAAAAUAUGAUUUUUUAAAAUGUCAAAUUCUGGUCCUUGGGGAAGAUCCAAAGUAACACAUUGAUAUUUAGUGCCAUUUUGGAUGUUGUAACACUGAUAAUGCCAUACCUAAGAGCAAAAUGAAAUGCUGCUGUUCACGACACAGAGCUACGUGCCUACCAUCCCUCUGAAGGGAAUGAGGGGAACAAAGCACCUGGGAAUUGGAUGUACAAUCUACAGCAUUCUGGGGUGUGGGAGGUGAGAUGUUUGUUCAGGCACUUUGUUCAUCUCUUCCAUCAAUCCUAUGUCACACAUGGAUGCUGCUGAGCUGUGUCUCCCAGACAUGAGCUGCUUGGAGCCGGAGUUCUCAGGAGUAAAGGACCAAAUCUGACCUAGUAACCCUGCUGGGAGGCUGGGAAUAUUUACUCACACUUACUGCCCUCCUAACAUGGCUGCUCAGGUUCUCUCCAGUCUGCAGCACUCACCUGCUUGGGAUGUGGGCAGGCAAUGCCUAAUCCUUCCUGCAGAACAUCCCAUAGGGAUUCCCUUAGGUGCCAAGCUCAGCCCACAAUAAAUAUCCAUUUUGUGGAGCAUAGUAAUGACUGAAGACUUUGCCAUUUUCCAGCUGCUCAGCAUGGCCCAUCAUCUGGUUCUGCUGGAAGAAGAGACUGCAGUCACACCUGCAUUUUCAUCCUAGCAAAUUCAGUCAGGUAAGCUGAAGACACCAGCUUUCAAAUCCCAGUCUCUCUGUCUGAAGUGACUGCCCCUUCUGUAAUACUCCAGUGGUAAGGCAACUUGAGUAUCCUUCAGUGAGAAUACAUCAAGCUGCAGGUUUGGGGGCCCUUUAUUCUUUUGCCUUUUUUGCUUUACUGGGACGAGUGUGACUAGAGGGCUAUUCAGUGGGGUGCCAAACCCCCGGAUGGGAAUUACAGUUACACAGUUGAUAUUCCCUGUGCAGUGAUAGUUGACUAUUUAAUAAACAACAUACGCAAUAUAUUGACUGGAGUAGUAAAAUGGAGCUGCAGUGGCCUUGAGCUUGAUCUCUUGCAGUAAAUCAGGAAUUGUAUUACAGAGGCCAGAGAAGUCAUGCUACUACUGAAGAGAUUAGAGUUGGCCUCAAUACUGAAAGGGCUGAAGGCAUUUUAAUUUUAUGGAAUUGUGAUUUAAGCAAGAAGGAAGUUUUACAGAUUUUUUUCUUCCACAUGGACAUGAUAUGCAUCCAAUGCACUCACUCCUGUUUUCAGCAGCAGAAAUAUUCAUCCUUUGGGCUCAUCUACAAUCUGAAUUCAUCUUAGCCACACCGCCAAAACACACCUCCUUGUCAAUCUGGCAGAUACUCUUAGUUCUUUUAAACCCUUAGAAGGGAAGAAGUAAAACACUGUUUAUCUUGUCUGUUUUUUAGAGGAUGGUUAACACAUAUUGCUUUUCCCUAUGCACACCAGAAACAACCUUCAAGGCUGAAUAAUCACAAAAAGAAACACUAAAGUGGUUUAGUAGCCAUCUGAAGAUAUUUUGGCUGUAAAUCCCAUAAACAUGAGCUGAUGAGUUGCCCCUUUUUCAGCAGCCAUCUCAUUGCAAUUAAAAAGAAAAUUCCUGCAAUACAGUUCUUUGCAAGCUGUGCUUAAAAGACCAAUGUCCUGGUGUGCCACAGAGCACAAAAGCCACAGGUCUAAGUCAUGGGGGUAACAGGACCUCCCACAUCAGCUGAGAUGAAGUUGCUAUUGAUUGUCAGGGUAUUAAUAGAUGAACUUAUCACACCUUUUUUGCAACAAUUUAAGGAGUUACUAUCACCAUAUUUGUGGUUGCCAUGCUCACAGUGAUGUCAAGAGAAAGAGCUCUGUGCCUCACCAGCUUCAGUGUCAAGUCUGUUGGUUUAGGUAGAUUUUCACUUCACCUGCAGUUUAAAGCAAGAAGCAAGCUCUGGCAGUAGAGCAGCUGGGGUGGGGCACACCUCCUCUUCUUCUGGUUUUGCUGUGGAAAGGAGCAACUUCCAAGACUGUCAAGAAGUGGAGGACAUAACUCCAUAGGCCACCACAGAGCCAUCCACUGGAUCUCAUUUAGCAGUGCCUCUGUGGCAAGUUGGAGUUUUUUUAAAUAAGGCAGCCCCCCAUAGCUCUCUGGAUUGCCAGCUCAGCUAGUGCUAAGCUGAUUUGAAUUACUUCUCAUGUGCUCAGGUCACACAUAGAGCUCCUAUGCCUCAGCAAACACAUGGCAAUUUAUGUACAUGUUUUGCAUUUCAGAUGUCCAUGAAUAUUUUAUUAGUGGAAAUAUUCAUUUGCAUAGUACUUACUGAAGUAAAUUUUUGAGGUCCUUGGGACUGCAGAACAAAACAAACCACCUGGACUGAAAAAGAAGCAAUUAUAGAGAGUUAAGGCACUCUUGACAUGGUUUCUGUUUUAUCAAUAAUGUCUACCAGUCUUUACUUUGAAAUAACUGGCUGUCAUUAUGAGUACACUCAGGCAGUGUAGCCAAAUUUACUGUAAAAUGAAGGACCUGUGUAUGUGACAAGGCACAAACAAGCCAGAGUGUUGGAUUUUAGAUAGCUCUGGUCUGAAAAGAUCUGAAUGCACAGUGAUAUCUACCAGGGCUGUGUGUCUGCAGAAGCCUUAUUUUCCAGCUGCUGAGUGAGGACAGCCUCUAAAGUAAAUUAGUAUUUAUGUCCCAGUUCAGCAAAGUUCAUGCUUGAUUUUUAGCAUAGGCUUCACUUCUUACUUAAGUUAAUCACACACUUAAUUGCUUUAAUAAAUGGGGACAAAAUGAAGCAUAUCCUUAAGAACAUAAUCAGGACCUACCCCACAGAUGGUCGAGACUGAGGGCUUGAUCUAGAUACCUCUGAAAUCAAGAAGCACAUAAAUGGGAAUCACAGGUGUGCUUCAAUGUUGUAGUACAUAAAUCAGUUUUCCUAUCCCAUAAUUUUCAUCUGAUUUACUUGCAUGCAAACCUAGGAGCUAGAAGAGAGCUGAGGGUUUAAUGCCCUGGUAUACUGUUAAUACCUUGGAAGCAAGUCAGCAGGGACAUCACGAUGACAGGACCCUCAAGCUACCAAUACUUCCCAGACUUCCACAUGACAGAGAAGAAAAAUAUGGUGGAACUGAAGGCAGAAACUGACUCCUGGUUAUGGCCCUUGCAUAGGUAUUUUUCUAUGGCCCAUCCUCUUGCAUAGGUAUUUUUCAGGGUUCUGUUCUUGCUUAAGCACAGCUCCCCAUAAAGCUAAGGCUCCACUGAUGUUCUAAAGCACUUUUUAUAAUCAAGUCAUUGCACAAAACUGCUCUACUAUAAUAGAGAAUGUUUUGGGGGGAAAAAACAGCUUUAAGAUGAAAAUUAAGACGUACGUCUUCAAACAAAAAUAGAAGAAUUAUAAAUGGCAAAUAGCCAAAAACCUCUUUGGUAAGUUAAUUUAAAUUGAGCUGAGAAUGUCAGAUUUAUCACUGUGGGUAGCUUGACUGAGUGGCUCAAAAUUCAUAUGCCACUUUUGUUUUCAUCUCCAUAUUACUGAGAUUGCUGCACUGUGCCAAACAAGCAAGCCUGGAAAAGAAUUUCCUUGCUAGGAUCUACUUUGAGGAUGCAAGUUAGCAGAGGAGAUAGACCCUCUCUGUGAUGAGUGAAUUAGAAUACACACAUACUAUGAGCAACAGUAAGGAUCUGAAAUGGGGCUGUUUUCUCCAUGGCCACAGGUUCAUGUAGGCUGUAUUCAGUCUUCUGUAGGUGCCCUGAACAGUCUUCUAAGCUUCACUGAAGAGGAAAAUGAAAUCUCUGUUCAAGAGGUGAAAAGCCUUUUUGCUGUGUACCUGUCACACUAGACAGUCUCCUGUUCCCUAUGCUGUCUCAAGCACAAAGAUUCAGGGCAGAGUACUGCCCACAAGGAUAGACAACUUCUGAACAGUGAAGAUAAAAUGAAGUUAUCUCACAAGAAUGACUGUGGACCCAAAAAGGUCAGAAUAGCUGGAGUUCAUCAAACAAUUAAACACACCAGCUCUGUAUUUUAAAUAGAAAAUAAGACCAAGAGGAGGGAGGAUCAGCAGUGUCUGUGAUUUUCACAAAAACUCAAAAAGUAAAUAAGUAGAUUUAUUUGGAGAUUUCUUGCAUCCACAAAAGGGAGACUGGUGGUGAGAACUGAAGAAAUAGGACUAAUAUAAAAAAAAAAAAAUGAACCUUUAACUACAGCACUCAAAUGUCUCCCUGGGGGAAUUAAAAAAACCCAACCAACCUACUUCUGCACAUGAAAAUUGUGAAAACACAAAAGCAAAAUAUUCUGAGCAACAUAUUUUAAAUCUCAGAUGGUAUCCUCCACUUGAGUUGGGCCUUUUUUCCUCAAAGAGGAAAGGCAGCUUUUAACUUGCCAAUCAUCCUAAAGGGGAAAUUUCAUUGCUGAUCUAGUUCAACUCCAGCAGACAUUACAGGUCAUGUUUAGCUACAAAAUAACAAUUCCUAGAACCUCCACCCUUUAACUCUGAAAAUGAGCCACAGCUACUGUUUCUCAUCUGUGCAUAAAUGUUUACCUUGUCUUCACAACAUAAGGUGCUGGGAUUUCUUCAGGGUGCUUUUAAACCAGUAUGUUGCUAACAUUGUCCCUGUCAUGCCUCCAGAAAUAAGAAGAGAGCACACAGUAGCACUUAGUAGGAAGAUGCAAAUUUGUGGUUUACAGAUAGACAGACAACCUUCCUCUGCCUUCUCCUUUGAAACUGUGUGUGGGCUUCACUUGUUGAGCUGGGCUUCUUGCAGGCAAUGGCACAUGGCAUAACUACCAUUAGCACUGGCUGAUGGAACAGGUGAGUUUCUUGUGCAGUUUAUUCUCUAAAGGAAGAUUGGAAAUGGAAACUCUCUAUUUGUCUCUAUUUUAAUUAGUGAAAAGCUGAUGAAAGCACAACCCAAUGUGGCAUCCUAAUUGUUUCAUCAGUGAAAUUAUAAAUAGAUUGUUACAAAAAUUAUUGAAAUAGCAAAACAAUCCAGAGCUGUGAAAAGCUGACCCAAGCCUCUUGUCUGAACAGGCUAGAGUAUUCUUCAGAGCUGUACUAGAUUGGAAGUGAAAUUUUGCCCUUUGGGAUGAUUGGCAAGUUAGAAUCUGCCUUUCACCUUUGAAGAAAAAAGGCUCAACUCAAGUGAGGAUACCAUUUACAUGACUCCUUUCAUCCUGCUAAACAAACAGUGAAUGGAUGUAACUCUCAGCAUUUUUGGUGAAAACAGGCUGCUUUGGCUCGGUGCAAAAGAGAGGGCUGAAGACAUAAACAUACACGUUUGAAUAGAGGAUGCAUUUCCCCCAUGCUUCUGAUAGAAAAUGUAAUUGCAUCAGAUGUUCUCUGAAAACUGCCAGUUUGCUUAAGAACAUUCAGCAUGUUACCUCAAUAGCUGCUUGCCUACACUUCACAGACAGAAUGCAAGGAGGUACUUUUCUCUCAAAUGCAGAUGAGAAAUAAGGUCUCAGGCUUGAUAAUACUUCCAAUCUGCUCCACAAGCAAAUGACUGAUUUUAAUUAUCUUUCAACUGCUAACAUGGAAGCUGACUUCUCUUUAGAUAGAGGCAGCCAAGAAAGCAAGGACAAUGCAUAUGAACCCCUUUCCCUGUUUUUCCCAGUUUCAUUGCUUGUGUAGUGAGGAUUACUUUUUAAGAAGAGAAAAACAGCAAAAACAUUUUUUACAUCUCUUCAGUAGCCAGAGAAUUUAUCAGAAUCUUGGCAAUAACCCAUGUUCAAGUGUAAUUUAUGCCAGAUAAAUGAUUAAUCUAUAUCAUGGCAAUUUAGGGACCUCCAGCUUGGACCACAUGAAGAUUUCUUCAGGGUAUGUGGAGAUGGGUCUCCUUAGCUAAUGCUUCCUUGGGGGAAGGCAAAACCAGGGAAAUUCAAGGGAAAGCAAAAGUUGACAGAGGAGAUUACUUUGUAGCAUUCCUUCCAAGGCCCAGCACAGAACCACAAAAGGAUUUUAAAGGUUUUAGGGAAGCUACUGCCUGCAGAAACCCCCACAGCAUCAAUUCAGUUAUGCUGCUAUGCUGGAAGGGGAAAAGCUAGCAGAGAGGUGUAACUUCAUGAUUAGCCUGGGCAUCACAGUCCAUUUCAAAAAUGAAGGAACUUGUCCUGCUGGUAGAAUAAUGAAUCAUUAAAACUACAAGAAGAAUUGCUAAAGUGCUCCUUUGCUCUUGGCUUUCAGAUGAACUUCCAAACUGGCUUUUAAUCUGCCUGGUGGGGAUGACUUCCUCAGAGAGUCAACAGAAGACAAUCCUCUAAUACUUUUUAUCUUGGCAGCCUUUUAAAGUGCAAUGCAUGUAUAAAUAAAUGCCAUUAUUAACUCCAUGGAAAAAUGCCUAGCAUUCUCAGAGUUGAAAAUGCAAAUCAAUUAUGCAGUGUCUUAAUUCUAGCAUCUUUAAAAAAUGAAAAAUUCUAAUGACAUAUUACAUUGCUUUGUGAAUCAAUUCCAAAUUUUUGGAAAUUGUCACACAUCCCCAUUCAUUAAGAAGCUUUAUUUUUAAGCAUAUUCAAGACAUUUUAGAUCAAUGUAAAGACUACACUAACCAUAGAGCUUUAGUGUAGACCUUAAAUUAUGAUUUUCCUAGUCUGUCUGUCUAAUUUGGCAGGAAUAAAAGACUCUGCAUUUCCACUUCAGACACGGGGAGCUUCACAGGUCUUUCAAAGGCCUCAGGUUUAAUUAGUCUUUGAAAAAGAGUGGUUAUUUAAUAGGAAAAAAAUUAUGGUAGUCAGAGUCUUAAAGACCUUAAAAAUAGAGGCAACUGUGAAACCCCACAGCCUUCCUGGGGUUGCAAAUUUUUUACUGGUUCAGGAAUCACAACAGAGUGGGAAGAUAGGAGAGAGCUGAUCCUCUUUUGCCCGUUUUAUUUCAAGAGUUGUGUAACUUAGCAGGGUGAGAAAACAUCUCUAUUUAGUUUAAAAAUAUAAAUUACCUGUCACUCCAGAGAGAGACAACUACUCUGCCAUUCCAGACACAAAAAGCUGGCAAAAAUUCCUUCUCUCAAGAGCCAUUAGUAGCACUUUUCUGGCUGCCAAAAAGCAUGUGCCUUUUAAGAAGGUACCACAGGACCAGGGAUGUGCUGUAGUGAUGAUAGUCAGCAACUAUCCAAAUUUCAAGCCUGUCAGACAGAAAUACCUGUCUGACCUCUGAGGCAUUCCUUGUCCCAAGGAACCAGGCAGCACAGGAUGGUGAUACCUAAAUGACUUCAGGGAGAAGUACCGAAUGGGAAGCUGCUAUUGCUUGCUGCUCAGGGUGUCAAUUACUACUGAUAAAAGUACUGGUUUACUAAUAGGGAAGUUUAACUCCUGAGCAAGUACAUGCCUACCCAAAGGUCUGAUCUGCAAGAGGAAGAUUAUGCAAUUGGAACAAUCUAAAUUCUCUAUUUCAAUCUAAAUUCCAACUUUGGGGGCCAUUAGAAAUGUAUAAACCCAGCUACCACCCUUGCCAUUUGAGAACACCCUGCAGAAACAAGGCAGGGGUUCCAGCCCUUAGAGUGUUGCUACUACUCAGAAAAUAGUGGUGGAUUCAUCUUGCACCAAUUAUUAGACAUUUGCAUCAAACUUUUGUCUUCCUCUCAUGCUAUUCUCCUAAUUUUAUAUUCUUUCAGCCCCUUUCUUUUCCAUCUCCUUUUUUUCACUACAAUUUUCUGCUCAGCUCUUCCUGAAGCAGCCAAGUACCAGUGUGCAGACGCUGCAGAACACUGCAUGACAUCCUGUUUGAAUGGCAAGAUCUUGGAGCAGGAACUAUCUGCUACUCUGCAGACACAGUAAAAAGCAGACUCAUUCUUCAACAGCUUGAAGCUGAAACUCUCAAUAAUGUCAUCAGGAGCUAUUGUGUCACAUCACCCAAGUUGUGCAGGGAAUACACCUCAUCUUUAGGCUAUUACUGCUUAAGUCAUCUUUACUGAAUCUUCUUUGUCAAAGGUGUCCCAGUUGAUCUUUGCACAAUCUCUUGAACUGUAUCUCAGGACUCUCAAGUUCAGGACACUGAAAUAAAUGCUCUCUUCUCCAUAGCUCAUAUUUGAAAACACAUAGGAAUUAUUCUUCUAAGGAGCAGGUAGAAGGGAAUCAACCAUUUCAAUAUGCUAUUUUACAUCAUCCAAAGAUGACACUAUGACAUCAGACUUGCCCUUAGAGGAUACUGGACAACUAAGGUCCUCAUGGCUACUCCAGUAAUUUCUGUAUUUUCUUUAGAAACUUAGUGUAAGUCUUAAAACCCCUUUUUAGUGUAUACACAGCUAUCAACAACUGAAUUCUUCAAAAACAGAGUAAAUAGAAAACCUGACAAGCCAUCUAUUCUUGUAGGAGAAAACUUUUUUUCCAAAGCCAGAAACUGGAGCAGAUAUAAGCUAGUUCUCCUCAUUCCAAUCACAAACAUGUACUAAAUUAUAAAGGGAGUUAUAAAUAGAAAAGAGAACUCUCAAAUUCUCCGUCAUCUUUCUCCAUCCCAAAGACAAUUCAACCUCCUUUCCAAGGUUCUGUGAAGCAUAGGUAUAAAAUGUAGUACACGAAUUUCAGAAUUGUCUGAACCUUUUGGUUAAGAUGACAUUUUUUUCUUUAUACUCACAUUGCAUCCCCCAGAAUAUCAAUAUACAUUGCCAUCUCAAAACCUACUAUUCUCAUUGGUAAAAAAAGAUUACUUUUCAAGACUCAAUUUUACAGAAGUUUUGCAGAGCUGAAUGCUUUUAACUGAGAAGUCUGAUUUUAAAAACCGAGUUAAACUUAAUUGUCUAUUACAGCAUGAAGACUUCCAUAGAAAAGCCAUUUUUAAAAGCAGUACUUGAAGGAAAAAUUUUCAAGUGUCUCUAGUAUUUCCCACCCACCACCACUGGAAAUGGCCAGCAAGGAGAUUAUGGGAACUCCUCUUAGUUGCUCAACAGUUAGCAAACCAGUUUUUCUCUAAACUGGCCUGAGUCCAAUAGACACAGUAUAGUCCCAGAAGCGACACACACAAAUGCAGGAAAGCAGUAAAUGUAUUACUCAUGGUGCCCAGGUGGUUGGUGAACAAUCUCCAAGAGCAGCAGGCAUGGCUGCCUGAGCCCUGAGAGCCCAGAACAGCCAGGGUGCAUUGCCUGCAGCGGGGCCAGCAGCUGCACUCCUGCAUCACCUGCUCCUCUACCUUCUAAGCUAUAGUAUCACCCAAAUAGUAAGACUGAUCUGAUUAGCAGGCCCUUAAUCUUCACUAACCUUCUCCUUUAGCCAUUAGCUAUCAUUAAUUUAUUAAAUGUUCUUCUGACAGGCUGCAAAUUGUCCAGUUACCACAAUUACUCAUCCAGCCAUGCACUUCUCCCAUCAAAACUCCACAACCACAAGUGAUAAUGAGCAGCUUUUUCAGGAUGGCUCACCUACAACGCUGAGGUAGUGUCUUACUCCUGCCUGGUGAUUCCUAAAGCUACUAGGGAGUGUUAGAGACUGACUCUAAAACUUACCAGGCUGUGCCAUGCAACUGUGGAUCCUCUUUCACUGGAAGGGUCACCAGAUGAAGGUAGGGUUGGACAUAACAGUUAAGCCCAGGAAGCUAGCAGGAGCACUUCUGGGAAUCAUUUAGCUUGGCACAAACCUCUUGAGAUCACCUAGCCCAACUCCCUGCUCAAAGCAGGAGCUGCUGGAGACAUUUGCCCAGCAUGUCAUCAGCUGGGUUUUGAAUCUGCACAGAUUCCACACCUGUGUUUUACCACUUACUGUAAAAGAAGUCAUUUGUCCUGUUCAAAGAGAGUAUUUUCAAAUCUAGGCCCAUCUCCCCUUGCCAGUGGUGCUAAGAUUAAUCUGGCUGUCUUCAUUCCCUCCUCUCAGGGAUCACUAGGAUGUCCCCCUAGGCCUACACAGGGAAGCAUCUUUGGGCCUAAGAUCUCCCACCUCCAUGUUCAGCUUGGACUAAAACACCACCAGCUGUUUCACUGCACUGCUGUGCCACAAAAGCUUUUGUUUGAGCUGGAACAGAACAUGAGAACCUCCACACUAUUUGACAGGAUGAUGGAUUGUCUCUUGUAAAGCUUUCAGAAACUGAACUUGAAAUGUCAGAGUGUUCCUACAUACACACACAAACAUCCAGAAAACUGCCUAGUGACCCAAGGCCUGUUUCACAAUUGCAAAAGCACCUGCAAGUGCACCUCAGCCAAAAGGUUCGUGACCCAUGCCAUUAGCUUCCACCACACCUGACUUACUCUGUCUCACAAGACAUUCUUCCACUAGCAGAAAGUACUGAAAUCUACCACUCCCAUCCUGCAGGUAAAGAAUUAAGUAAACCGAGCUGUAAGACUUCAAUUACUGACCUAGAAAUCGGGCAUUUCAUUUAGCUAACAGUAACAUGGACACUCACCCUAAACAAAACCAGAAGCUUUAAUUCCCGACACUAGAACACCCCAAGCAGGGAACAGAUAAAGUGACUGUAAAUAAAAGUGGCCUUCUCACACAUUCAUCUUGACAAAGGCUAUUCUCUUGGCUAAGGCAGUCUUUCAUCAUCCUUGUGGGUCCCCCUUCUAACUCAGAAUGUUGGGAUAUUGUGAUAUUCCAUUGGAGAUCUUUUCAUCUUAGAUGUUUCUAUGUGCAUACUGAGCUGUAGCAGAUGACUGAACGGGUUAAGUGUGAUUCCCAACCUACUGCAAAUCAAGGCACCAGAUCAGCUAAACCAAAAAUUCUUGUCAGAUCCCUGUUUGCAUUACUUACCUAUAAAAAUGAGACAUCCAAUACUCCAGCAAUUCAGAAUCUCAGGUGGUUGUUCUGAUGCUUCUGGAAAACUUUCUUCAACCUGUGCCAUCCUAAGUAUGUCUUGCCCCAAGCUCUUAGAAGCACAGGAUGAAGACUGGGUAGGAAGUGUCAGUUUGGUAACUUACUUUCUAGAAGGCAAAUCCUAACUGCUAGGAAAUUUAGAAAAACUGCAUAAGCUUCCUGAAUCAGUGGCAGCACACAAACAGCAGUUCUAAGGCAUUCCAAUGCUGGCUAUCAAAACACUUUUGACAAGCCUUCUCUGGAAAAUCAAUAGAGCUGUUCAGAGUCCUCGGAGAGCAGAGCUUUAAGAUCAGUGACCAUAAACACUCGAUUAAGUGCUCCUGAAUUUGGAUUGAACAGCUGUCCUAAUUUUAGAUGCUCACUGCAUUUAUAAAUACAUCAGAGAUGAUUGGAACAGUUUUAAAAAUUAGGUAACUGCAGAGCUGGGAGCACUGCAUGGUACCCAGAGGCAGGGGCCAAUGCUUUGUUUAAAGGCCAGCAGAACCCCCAGACAAGAUAACCAUACUGCACAUGUACAGUCAAGGCAGUUGUUGCCAGCAGAGAAGCAAUGGGCACGAGCAGCCUCUGGCAUUCUUUUGAGUUCUUGGAUUCAUCCUUGGUAGAAACCAGGUUUGUCUUCCACUUUAACAAAAAUUAAACCUUGACAGAAAACUAGUGCUAGAAGCACAGUCAUGCUCAAUAAGAAACGAGGAAGAGAAUGUUUUCCUCUGUACUUUGAGCUGACUGCAUUCUGAAUGGCAACUCAGACAUGGCAGUUUCAGAAAAGCCCAAGUGUGAGACUAAGUUACCCCAAUGUAGCAACUGACAGGGAAUAAACUCCAAAAUAAUUAAAAGAAAGCAAACAGGUUUAGUUGUCCGAACAAGGAAUUUUAAUUUUAGGUCAACUAUUGAACUAGGUCAACAUCCAGUUCACAAUGUCUACAGAUAGUGGGCAUAGCCAGUCACUACGGUAAGUUUAUUGAAGCACCAAGCUCCACACAAGACUGUAAAAUACAUUUUAAACUACUAGUAAGAAAGCUUCUUCAAGUCAACAAUACUAUUAAGGGCCAGAGUUUAAGGACUAAGUUUUCACCUUCCAAGCUAUUUUAAGACAGCCAAUCCAUUGCAUAAGCAAACCAAACUGCUACAUACUGAAACACAGAGCAGCAACUGCAUUGAACAAUUCCUGUAAAUAAUUCAAGGAUACAUUGAAACAGUAUGGGUAAAUUGUAAUUUUUUAUUGGAAAACAAAUAUACAACUUGGAAUGGAUUUGAGGCAAAUCGUGCCAUAAGCAGAUUUUUUUGAAAAUAAGUGGCUAAACAAAGUUUAAAAAGCAUAGUAACAAGAGGAGAAAAUGUUUUCUGGCACAGGACCAGCAGUACAAAAAAACUUGUGUACGAGUACCUGGAUAAAUCACCCGUUUUGCAUUAGUGCAACUUAAGUUUCAUAUUGUUGACUGUCAAUCGUCUACAACGUUAA